UUACACAUGCGAAACUCCUAAGCCAGUGUCAAAUCCCUUAGAACUUUUUUAUAAACCUAAGGAGAGGGCAUCAAGCACAUUAAAUAAUAGCUCAAGACGCCUUGCCUAGCCACGCCCCCACGGGACCCAGCAGUGAUAAAAAUUAAGCAAUGAACGAAAGUUUGACUAAGCUAUAUCUCCAUAGGGUUGGUAAAUUUCGUGCCAGCCACCGCGGUCAUACGAUUAACCCGAAUUAAUUAUCCACGGCGUAAAACGUGUCCAUAGAAACAAAAAAAUAGAAUUAAAAAUCAACCAAUAUGUGAAAAUUCAUCGCUGAACUUAAAAACACUAACGAAAGUAAUUCUAACUAACUUAAUACACGAUAGCUAAGACCCAAACUGGGAUUAGAUACCCCACUAUGCUUAGCCUUAAACCCUAAUGAUUUAAUAACAAAAUUAUUUGCCCGAGGACUACUGGCCACAGCUUAAAACUCAAAGGACUUGGCGGUACUUUAUAUCCAUCUAGAGGAGCCUGUUCUAUAAUCGAUAAACCCCGUUAUACCUUACCACUCCUUGCUAAUUCAGCCUAUAUACCGCCAUCUUCAGCAAACCUUAAAAAGAAUAACAGUAAGCAGGAGAAUCACCAUAAAAACGUUAGGUCAAGGUGUAGCCUAUGGAGUGGGAAGUAAUGGGCUACAUUUUCUCAACAAGAACAUUACGAAACCCUUUAUGAAAUCUAAAGGACAAAGGAGGAUUUAGUAGUAAAUUAAGAA
This 751-nucleotide ribosomal RNA is filed under the name Neotoma albigula (white-throated woodrat). Its description in RNAcentral is "mitochondrial SSU ribosomal RNA". It matches the Rfam family "Bacterial small subunit ribosomal RNA", at positions 49 to 1349 of the family's 1533-position model. The record is from RNAcentral. Lineage: Eukaryota; Metazoa; Chordata; Mammalia; Rodentia; Cricetidae.